GAGCUUUCCACAUCUUCUUUUCAUCCACUCACUCACUCGCUCACACUUCCUCAUUUUCUUCGAUUCUAAAGUUAAACCAUGUUGAAGCAAUCACCAAGCAGAAAUCAAAGGACUAAAAGCUUCAAGUCGCAAAGCUUGGAAGAAAAGUUUUGAAUCCGUACGAACUGAUCGAUGAUACAGAAGAAAGCAAACCCCAAAGAGUUGAAGAGGAAGAACAUGAGGAAGUAGAAGACCUCAUUGACGAAGAAGAUAAAGAGAAGGAGG
Arachis duranensis is the source of this 264-nucleotide long non-coding RNA. RefSeq lists it as uncharacterized. NCBI's taxonomy places the organism in Eukaryota, Viridiplantae, Streptophyta, Magnoliopsida, Fabales, Fabaceae. The transcript has 3 exons. The record is from RefSeq and is a predicted model, not a curated record.